UACGGGGGGGGUAAGCGUUGUUCGGAAUUACUGGGCGUAAAGGGCUCGUAGGCGGCCAACUAAGUCAGACGUGAAAUCCCUCAGCUUAACUGGGGAACUGCGUCUGAUACUGGAUGGCUUGGAUUCGGGAGAGGAAUGCGGAAUUCCAGGUGUAGCGGUGAAAUGCGUAGAUAUCUGGAGGAACACCGGUGGCGAAGGCGGCAUUCUGGACCGACAUUGACGCUGAGGAGCGAAAGCCAGGGGAGCAAACGGGG
RNAcentral lists this ribosomal RNA (254 nucleotides) under uncultured bacterium. RNAcentral's name for it is "partial 16S ribosomal RNA". It matches the Rfam family "Bacterial small subunit ribosomal RNA", at positions 524 to 777 of the family's 1533-position model. The record is from RNAcentral.